RNAcentral lists this ribosomal RNA (48 nucleotides) under Asterochloris irregularis. Its description in RNAcentral is "partial 26S ribosomal RNA". RNAcentral also lists the same sequence under 1 other name. The record is from RNAcentral. Lineage: Eukaryota; Viridiplantae; Chlorophyta; Trebouxiophyceae; Trebouxiales; Trebouxiaceae.
UAGACCUGAGGUCAGGCAAGACCACCCGCUGAACUUAAGCAUAUCAAU